Molecule: RNA transcript, 11755 nt
Organism: Bombyx mori (domestic silkworm)
Lineage: Eukaryota; Metazoa; Arthropoda; Insecta; Lepidoptera; Bombycidae
Gene: cry
Gene name: cryptochrome 1
Exons: 14
Source: RefSeq, marked provisional
AAUUGCAAAUUGCCAUGUUUCUGUUUAUUGUGGCCUAAAUUUUUUGAAAUUUAGUUAAAUGAUAUGUUUAUAUAGAUAAUUUAAAACAAUUUCAGCAUUAAUAUGUACUUUAGAUGUUUCUUAUGCAUGAUUAAAUAAUGUGUUCGAGUGUAAAAAUCGUGAUAUUUUGAAAAGUGCUGUUUGUUUACUACAUUGAUCCGCUAAGUUUGGAUAAAGUAUACUAAUUAUUAUUGUUGGUAUAAAAAUCUUCUAAAAAUUAUUAUUUACUUCAGUCGAACAACAAAGUGAUGAGAACUUUCUUCUUAUUGGUCGAAAGUAAUAUUAAUAUUAAAAAAGUAAUACUCUAUGAGUUCCGCUCCUGAAAACGAUCACUCUACAAGUCUACAAUAUAAAUUAAAUGACAACAUUACUUUGAAGUUGAGCAUAACUACAAAUCAGAUUUCUAAACGAAUAAUUGUAAGGGGAUACUAAAGAUGCUUGGCGGUAGCGUUCUGUGGUUCCGUCACGGGCUGCGUCUCCACGACAAUCCGUCUCUUCAUUCGGCGUUGGAAGAAACGAGCGGCCCUUUCUUUCCCAUUUUCAUUUUUGACGGGGAAACUGCUGGAACGAAAGUGGUCGGGUACAACCGAAUGCGGUACUUGCUAGAAGCGUUAGAUGAUUUGGACAAGCAAUUCAAGAAGUACGGCGGAAGAUUACUCCUUGUUAAAGGGAAACCCAGUGCUGUGUUCCGCAGACUCUGGGAAGAAUUUGGUAUUCGGAAGUUGUGCUUCGAACAGGACUGCGAGCCGGUGUGGCGUCCCAGGGACGAGAGCGUGAAGACGGCGUGCCGCGAGAUCGGGGUCACGUGUCGGGAGCACGUGUCGCACACCCUGUGGGAGCCCGACACCGUCAUCAAAGCGAACGGGGGAAUACCGCCGCUCACGUACCAAAUGUUUCUGCAUACUGUGGCGACCAUCGGUGACCCGCCGCGGCCUGUCGACAACGCCAAACUCCGCGGUAUUAAGUUCGGUACAUUGCCGCUGUGUUUCUAUGAAGAAUUCACUGUUUACGACAAGGUGCCGAAUCCCGAAGACCUCGGAGUGUUUCUCGAAAACGAAGACAUCCGGAUGAUACGUUGGGUCGGUGGCGAGACGGCCGCCUUGAAGCAGAUGCAACAUCGACUCGCCGUCGAAUACGAGACGUUCUGCAGAGGUUCCUAUCUACCGACGCACGGCAGCCCCGACCUCCUCGGGCCUCCGAUAUCGCUGAGUCCCGCUCUACGGUUCGGAUGCCUCUCCGUUAGGAAAUUUUACUGGUCGCUCCAGGAUUUGUUCCAGCAAGUGCACCAGGGAAGCUUGUGUUCUACUCAAUACAUUACCGGUCAGUUGAUAUGGCGCGAGUACUUCUACACGAUGAGUGUGAACAAUCCUCAUUACGGACAGAUGACUGACAACCCUAUUUGCUUGGACAUCCCCUGGAAAAGCCCUGAGGGAGAUGAACUGGAGAGAUGGGCGUCGGGGCGCACGGGGUUCCCGUUCGUGGACGCGGCCAUGCGGCAGCUCCGGCUGGAGGGCUGGCUGCACCACGCCGUGCGGAACACCGUCGCCUCCUUCCUCACGCGCGGCACUCUGUGGCUCUCCUGGGAGCACGGGCUCGCGCACUUCCUCAAGUACCUGCUCGACGCCGACUGGUCCGUGUGCGCCGGCAACUGGAUGUGGGUGUCCAGUAGCGCCUUCGAAGCGUUGCUGGACUCGGGCGAGUGCGCGUGUCCAGUGCGACUGGGCCAGCGGCUCGACCCCAGCGGCGAGUACGUGCGGCGCUACGUGCCCGAGCUGGCGCGGGUGCCGACCGAAUACAUCUACGAGCCCUGGAAAGCGCCUCUGGACGUGCAAGAACGUGCCAACUGUAUAAUAGGCAAGGACUAUCCCGCGCCUGUGGUCAAUCAUAUCGUAGCUGCGCAGCGCAACAGAAACGCCAUGGAGCGGUUGAGUCACGCCAUUAAAUAGCGCCUACAACGACACAACUGGUCGAACGUUGUCUGGGUCUGUACAAAAUAUCUUAAUAAAUUGUACACCUAGUGGACCGAAAAAUGAAAAAUAAGUUUACGACAAUAGUUUAACGAUUUAUUCAUGGGAAUUACGCAUGCUUCUGGAAAAAGCGCCACCGCAUUGCUGUCCGUCGUCAGAGGAUGAAAUCAGGCAAUUCAUGUGGCUUAACGAAUAGAAGAACAAACGACUCUCUAAAGUAUAUUUUUAUUUGUCUAAUGUACGGUAUGACAUUCGUUUUCGCAGCUUGGCUCUUGCGUAAACCGGCUUAAUCCGGAUAAAUCCGCUGGUUCCGUAGAUCAUGCGAAAAGCGGGCCUUGCAUGCGAGCUUUGGUAGAGUCUACCCGUGAUUAUGGCCUUUGCGAUAACGCCGAAGUAUCGGGGACUCCUUAGUUAAAAAUCCUGGUCGGAACAUGCUAUGUGAUAGUGCUUAUCAUUAUAUAUGUGAAAUGUUCGUUUUCCGGCUCAGUGAGUUCGGUGUAGUGGGUUAAUUUGUUAGAACAUACAUUGAGCCUGGAUACACCUGAUCCCCAGUCGGGGACAGUUAGGGAACUUGCCCAGCAAGAUAUCCUAGGCCCCUGAUAUGCGUCUAGAAUUUAAGAAAUUAGCAUAUGGACGCACCUGGAACUGCCACGCGGAGUUCCAAGACGCGUGCACUGUUUUCUGGAAUCACUUGGAUUCGAUUGGUUUCCGUUUUUUGACAUUUGUAUAACUUGUCACCCGUGACAAGCCAGUUUGGUUACGUUCGAAAAAGGGGUACUUAGUUGGUUGCGUGUUGUUCGACUAACGUUUGUAAUCGAUGUAUGUAUUUAUAUUCAUGCGAUUCUGGUUCUCUUUGUCAUUCCAUGAAUCCAAAUGUGGAGACCGAUUGGCAGGUCUAAUGUCAAGUUUAAAAUUUAUCGCGAAGAUAGUACAGUAAUAGUAUUAACGUACUUAAAUAAUUGCAUGUCAGCGCUAUGAGUAUAGCUAUUAGGUGUGGGACUUUUUUAUUUGCUAUUUUUUGGGUCUUAAGGUGGCCAUGGCUUUAUGAUCUCUCCAUUUUGUGUUAAGUUUUGUAUAAUAAAUAUCGUACCAAUAUUAACUAACUAUUGUUGUAUUUAAAUAUUUAGGAAUUACAUCGUUGCUAUCAAAGUAACUUUCACUUACUUGUUGUCAGGUUGAUGUUUUCGUACGAUACAAAAAAUUCUAAUUAAAAUUUACUAUUAACAAGUUCACGGCUAUAUAUUGCCUCAGUCGGACGCUUGAGCUAUUACAACGAUAAGCAUUUUGGCUUAAGUUUGCAAAAAACAUGUUAACGGUUUGCAAUUUGUUUAUAAUAUUUGAGUCGACUAUUAUCAAAGCCGGCAAUGUGACUUUUGGACAAUUAUUGGUAAAUCAGAAAAACGACUUGGUAUUCCAUUGGCAGUCACAAAACUCUUCUGAACGAUAUCUUAGAUAAAUAACAGGUUAAGUAUUAACCUUUAUUUAAUGCAGGUUUUGAACCGUAUUCUUUGAAGGAGACGAUUAUAUUCAAAUCAAUCUGUAUUGACAUAUCAAUAACAUUUUUUUGUCCAAAUUCACAGAUUGCCACCUUUGAUAAUAGACGACUCAUUUAUAGGUUUUGUAUAAUUAUAUAUAUAUGAAAAAAAAAAUGAUGUCGGUCUAAUUUUGGACGCAGCUAGAAACGUGAAUGUCUAUGUAGACCUUUAUUCUCAUAGGUUAUUUAAGUCUGAGCUGCAAUUGUCCCUUUUCCUAUAUUUGGGGAGGGUAAAGGCAGCAUUUUUUCUUAGAGACUUAUGAAUAUUCUCGAUUUACACGUUUUUCCUUUUAAAAUGUUAUUAGCUUUUUGACCUCGGGAGCGGUUGAAUACUACUUCAAGGAUAUUUUUGGAUUGAAUAUAGAUAUAUGUAUAUGAUAAAUGUUUACAUUUUAAAAAAACAUGAUAGUAUACAAAUCUAGUAAUUGUAGUUAAAUUUUAUUAUAUUAAAUUUUAAAUAAAUUAAAAAGAUAUUCGAUGCGAAGAUGCGUUGCGAAUUAUUUUUAGAUGAAAUUAUAAAAAGAUAUAUAUUUAUGAAUGUUUUUAAAAACGGUACUUUUAUACUUACCGGUGAACAAAAACUAUACUAAACUAUAUUGUAAUGGAAUAUUAUUAUUGAAAAAAAAAAAUUGUAAAUUUCAAUAAUGGAAUAUAUUUUUUGAUGAUCUGAUAUUUUUGAAAAUUAUAAUGUUAAAGUUUUUUUUUUUCGUGCCAAAUUUUAUAGUAACAGACGGCGAUGUCUGAUAUUAAUGGGGUAUUGUUUGUUAAUUGUAGCAAAAAAAAACAAAGUGUUAUAAAGAAUCGCAGAAAGCGAAACAGUGAAAUUAUUAUUAACAGAUAAAAUAUUAUUAACAGAUAAAAUAUUAUUAACAAAUAAAAUAUUAUUAACAGAUAAAAUAUUAUUAACAGAUAAAAUAUUAUUAACAGAUAAAAGAUAUUAUGAACAGAUAAAAUAUAUUAUUAACAGAUUAAAUAAGUUACACUUGAAAUAGCUAGCAAUUAAACUAUUGAAUUGAAAGAAUAAACAUAUCAUUCACAUUUUUGUCUGAUGUUUGGUUCAAAUUUAAUAAACUAAUAAAAUGUAUUGUGUUUCGAGAUACACGAACGAAAUAUACAUGCCAUAAUUAAAAUAUAACACUUUUAUUUGAACAAGUAAUGAAGCACAUGCCAUAAUUAGUAACAUCGAGUCAUAAGAUUUAAUUUCAUUUGUUUUAGUUUAUUCCUUAUGGAUAUUGCGUGCUUUUUUCCGGUACUUAUCCUUGACGAAUGUGUACGUAAAUCGGAAGAAUUUAAAUUAAAAAUAAAUUAGAAUAUUUUCAAGGAACUUAUACUAAGAAAGUAUCCGUACUUAAUUAAGAUAAAUUAUUAGAUUAGUAAAACGGGGUGAAUAGAGACAAUAUUGAACUUUACUUCAUUUUUAUGUAUGUCUUCAAUAGUCAAAAGAACAUUACAUUGGGUUUUUAUCAUGUCUCUUAGAUCUAAAUUAUUCCAGGCAUUUAUUCCUUAGUUACAGAACGAAAUGCAAAAAUAUGUUUCGUUUCUAUUGACCCGCGCAUGGGUUCAAUAGACACAAUGUAUAAGGUGAAUUGAGAAAAAUGCUAGGGUUGGCAAUUUCCAAAGAUUAAGUAGACACCUGCAUAAAUAGAUAACGUAAGUGUGAAAAAUAGGUACCUAGGUAGUUAUGUAGUAAAUGUUACCUAAUGGUAGAAAUAAAACAAUAGAAAAGUAAAAAUAUAAAACUUUUUAAUCUUUAAUUUUCAUCGACGAGAUCAAUUAUUUAUUCUUAUAUUCGAGACCAAUCAGUUGCAUCGUUUAUUGAUUGCACACAAAACAAGUUAUAAUUUUAAGAAACAGUCUCAUUAAUAGGUCCUUCCCCCCUGAGUCGCAUUCCUCAUGUCUGAGGGUCGUGACCAUCUCUUCACAUUAUCCUUCUUUGGAUGAUGUUUCGCCAUCUUCCUCUGUUCUCGGCGGUGUAUAUGGCGUCGUAGACGGUGGUAUCCAGAGUGAUGCGGAUUUGGUCGGACCAGCGCAUUGGAUUGCAGCCACAAGAUCUUUUGCCUGCAAUCUUGCCAGUUAGUAUCGAUUUUCAAUAUUUUUACCGCUCUUUCUGGCAAUGGGACCGAAGAAUUGAAAUAUCCUCUUAAGGCAUAUGGUAGAGAGCCCGGUUUGGAUAUUGAGCUGUCUUAAUAUGGAUGCAUUAGUCCGAUAUGCUCUCCACGGGAUUCGUAGCAUCUUCCUCCAGCACCACAUCUCGAAGGCAUCAAUGUUUUUUAUAUCCUAUCUUCUUAGAUAAUUCUUCUCUACAACAAGCAUCUUUAAUUUGACAUUAUAGGGCAUCUCCGGAUCUUGUAGUCCGCGGACUUUUAAUUCUUUCCUGUGCUGAAUGAGAGUCCAAGUGGGAUCCGAUAUCCAGACAGUUUUUUUUAAAGUCUGCUUUCAUGUGCUUGGGUAUUACCUUAACCAAGGUCUCAGUCGGUCCAGCGGUGCCUGGAGUUUUCCUUCCAUCGUUUGUCGAAAAGCAUGGCGUUGCAUGGGUCCUGCCAGUUCAGGGCCAGUUUUUGAGCGUUGUCUUGGAGCUUUCAAACGAAGUCUAAAUCAGGCAACCAGUAAAUGUGGUCUGAGUCGCAUCCUGCACCAGGAAAACUCUUUACGUUGUUGACCGAUUGCUUCCAACGGGAAUUUACUAAAAUAUAAUCAACUAAUUUCGUUAUCGAUUGCCCGGAGAUGACGAAGUGUAAAAGCGUCUAGGGUUAUGUUGAAAAUGAGUGUUUAGAAUCGUGAAAUUCUUGUUGAUACAGAACUCUUAUCAUUUUCUCUCCACGUCCGUUUCUGUUGCCUAGACCAAAUUUCCAUAUGAUUUCAUGAAGUUGAAGAUCAUAAGCGUUUCCGACCUACGCAUUCCAGUCUCCCAGUAUCACGGUAACCUCUCUGUUCCGAAUUGCAUCGAUUGUCGCUUUCAAUGUCCCAUAGAAAUUUUCUAUAUCUUCAUCAGAAGACGCAGAAGUGGAAGCAUAUACUUGCAGGAUGUUAAGCGUGCAAGGCUUGGUGUUUAAUUUGAUACUUAUGAUUCACUCUGAGACUGGAUUGCAGCCAAGAACUUGUUGAUUCAUCUUUGCUGACAUAAUAAAACCCACUCCAUGCAGACUAGAAUCAUCCAGACCAGAGAAAUACAUGGUAUUUCCCGAAGCUGUCUUGAAAUGUCCGAUUCUUCGCAUGUGUCUCGCCGAUGCCCAAAAUACUAAUGUCGUGAGAUUCCAUCUCCCGUUCCACAAUGCUUAAUUUCCCUGGCCUAAUGACACCUCUUCCAGGUGCCAAUACGAUGAUGUGCUCGUAUAGAUGUUUUGGUGCUAUAUGUUUUAUUUCCUCCACAAGUUAGAACUUCGGUAGCCAAUUUCACACCAGCCGGCCCGGGUACCGACUGGCGCCGAGUGUUAGCCGAAUCGCAUUCAUCAUUUCUUGUGUUCACGGUUAGAGGUUUUCUUGGGAGUUAAUUAAACGGCGGGUUCCAAUGUCCUUCCGUCUCAGUCUUUUAGAAGAUAUUUAGUCUCCUCGGUCACUGGGUACCGCUUCAUGAACGCUGGGUGGCCACGGUGUUGUCAGGUUAAUUCCCGCCGCCUGAGGCUCGGCGUUGAACUUUUACGGUAGCUGUGGUCCCUCCUGUUCAACCUCCCUCCUUUUGCAUCCGGGCUUGGGACCGGCAACGGUGGAUGUAUUACGUAGUUACAUAGUUAACAUUAAAUAAUUAACUUUUCAAUAAUCAGCAUUUAAAACUAGGUACUAAACCAAUGAGAUACACUUUUAACAAUAGCACAGUAGUCACGUAUUAUAUAUCGUUAUCCAUUAAAUCUUUCAGAAUAUCUUUUUCGUUUUUGUAAAACGAUGGUCGCCGAGUUUGGAUAGUUUGUAAACUGCUUGGACCAGGACGAUCAAUAUUAUCAGUUGUAUCCUUUAAAAUUUUAAGACGCGAAUUUGGAUAUAUUUUUAGCACUUAUUCAAAGUAACCUAGUAAUAUCUGAUAUAUUUUCAUUAGAUAUUACUUAGAUACUUUAUAUAUAUUGUUUUCUUUGCCAUCGUAAGUAUUAGUUGCAGUAUUUUCUUUGUUUUGUGAUAUUUUGGAUGUCAGUUCUGCCUUUUUUGGUUUCUUUUGGCUUUCCUCUUGUUCUGUUUCUACAUAGUUUUCACUUUGAGUACCAACGCUUCGUCCAGGUAUUCCAACUUUUUUUCCUUUAUGGUUCAGUUAUGUUCAUGGUUCCAUAUUUCAUCUCCCUGAGCAUAUCUAGAACGGAUUUUUCUAUUUCAGUUUCAUUUUCAUCGUUUUGCACUUCAUGUAGUCUGCUUAAAACUUUUAUUCAUUAAGCGGGUAUAUUCCUGUUUUCCAAAAUCCUGCUAUUAUAUUAGCAGCAGUAAUUGUUACGAAGCUCUUCCAUUAAUUUAUUUAAAAGUCUAGGAAAACAUCCCUUUGGAAUCGUGGCUUGGGCUUUUCCAUCGGUUUUUUUUCACUUCAAUACUACGUUUCGCCAAGUUAUCUUCAUAGGCAUGAAGAAUACCACAUCAAGAGGUAUGUGAGAUGUGUACUAUUCGCCGGUAAAAAAAAUUAACUAUAUAUUUUGUUCGUGGCACAGCAUUAUUGUCUCCAUCGAUAAAUGCGACGAGAGGUUAUCGCCUAUUAGGCUCUUUUUCCCAACUUUCUCUUUGAAGCGAGGUAUGAUUAUUGAUUUAAUCCAAUCUUUAAAAAUGGUGGCUAUAAAGCGCCGUCAGCUGUAACGGCUAUCAUAAAUGGAACUGAAGACUUUGUGCUAUUCAUUACCCUCUCUGGGUACUUCGUUCCUCGUUUACUAAAUGAUUUUUUUGCGUCAUGGGUCAUCAUUCAAAUUAGUUUCAUCACAAUUAAUUACAUUGCUUUAAUAAGUUGAUGCUUAAAUAAUUUAAGUUAAUACAUAAAUUAAUACCCGCCAAUGACUCUUCUAACUCUUUGAAAUAUUCUUUAAUUGAGUCUAGUGAACUUUCUGCCCUUUUUUUCUUUAAUGUUUUAGCUAUAUCUAUGGGGAAUUUGGUUUUGUGAUGGCGCGACCAAGUCUGGUCCCGGUAAAUUAUUUUUAAAUUUGAGCACUGCCCGGCCCACUUGUUCAAGCAACUAUAAGCCUUAACAAUGUAUCUCAAAUCUAAUGCAUCUAAAGGGUAUCCCCAUUCUGCACAUUUAUUGAUAUACUUUAUCGUGUACUCUUCAGUCUCGUCAGUUAAAAUAGUUUGCCCUCCUUGUUUUUUCAUAGUUUCGCUGUAUCUAUAAAAUACAGAUUUAUCGAUAUUACAUUUCUCCGUUAUGGCCUUUAAAGAGAAUUGACAAUUCGCAUAUGCGGCAACAGCUUCAUUUAUAAUAUUUUCAUCGUACUUUCUAUAUCUUUUCCCUUUAGGAUCUGGUUUAUAAACACGCGGCAUAAUGGUUUGUACCUAUAACAGAAGAAAAUACUUAUAUAGGCGAUGAAAAUAUAUUAGUACAUAAUAAGUAACACUGUACAUAAAACUAGGAUUUAAAUCCUGAUUUGGAUUGGAUUGACCUAGAUAGAUAGAUAUACAUUUUACAGGUACCUAGACCUAAAUCUUUAAGCAGUAUUUAUAGAUCAUCAAUAUCGUCUCCGAAUCAUACAAUUUCCAAGAAUUCUAAAUUUUUAUAACAAAACAAAAUAAUAUUCUUAUAUGUAGCAGCCCUUUUUUUUUCGGGCCGGUGGCUGAACCUACGAGGUCCCCCCACCUAGGGGGCGCGCUUGGUAUUUGAGAUUGGUCCGCGACUGCGAGAUCGCGGGCCCAGGGUUGUUUUCAGGGCCCUACCCACUAAACGACUCCCCUACACUCUUCGCACAAGUGUCCGAUCCCCUCCGAGGUCAGAACACGGAUGAGGUAAGGGGGUUACCGCGGUCAACACUACAACCAGACGGCGCAGCUCACCCCAAGUACGCCCAGCCGACGGAGUCUCCGAGGCGAAUCGAAGGCCCUGAAACGUCGGCCGUCUCGGUACGGCAGCCCGUCAGGCCGCCCAGACGGUGCUGCUGAUGUCCCGGAAUACCCCGCUGGACCAGAACCAGCCUGCCGGGUUGGGACGCGAUACACCGCCAACCGGUUGGUCUUUCGUAUCUCCUUGGUGGCGCGCUAGAGUGCUGGUAGCGCGCCGCGCGGCCUCUACCCCCUCAGGUCGCCCCUUGACCUUCACCGGGGGGAAGCCGAUAUAUGUGGCAGCCCUAAUACAUAAUAUUUUUCUAAUCACCUCUUACUCGUUUCUAUUGAACCCUUUCACGUGUCUAUUGAACCUAUAUUUUGUAUCUAUUAGCCUCUUCCCCGUGUCUAUUAACCUCGAAUUUUAUAGGACCUCGUUUAACCUGCAUUCAAGGGACUCACUGCAAGAUCUCUUUUAUUAUGUUGGACAAACCUCACGUCAAUUAAGUGCUGCUAUUUCAAGAAAAAUAAUGCUGCAGUUUUAAAAAAAUAUAAAUUUCGGAAAGUUUUUCUUUCAAAGUAUUGGGCUAUAGUCUGUAGAAAAACAUUUUUAGUUUUGUAUCUAUUCACCCUGCGAUUUUAUUCACCCUGUUUUACGGUAUGGAGUCAGCGUCAGAACGCCACUUCGCAACACGAUAAUCCUCUUAUCGUGGCCGCUGUUAAAUAUUUGCAUACACAGAGCAUGUAGUCGCGCUUUGUGGUCGUUUGCCGAGGCUGUGUAUUGCAACUUUUGUCGGUGUAGUCUCCGACCAAUGCGCAAGUCCGAUUACUUUCUGGCCUACAGGCUAAUCUUCUAUUCGGUUGGAGCCGUACGUUACAGAUCUAUCGCGAUUACUUCCUUACUUUCCAAUGCCGUGGGGCGGAUAAUAAAUACGCAACUCCUUAAGUGUCUUGAGGAUCGCUGGCUGAUCAAUGACCGGACAGUACGGUUUUUGUAAAGGUUGCUCAAAUGGCAAUCUUCUUGUAUACCUUGGUCACAGUUGGGUCGAAGCCUUGGAGAGCAAGGGCGAGGCUCUCAAGAGUGAGCCUUAGUACCGCGAAGGCAUUCCACAGAGUCUGGCAUAGUCGAAGUUACCUUUUCGCUAACGUCGACUCGACUUCGGGUUGCUUACUUUUUGGAUAGGCGCAGCAUCACAGCGUUAUGACAUCAGUUUCUUUAAAGGAAGUUUGUGAAGUUUACUCAUCGUAGGCAGCAGCUUAGCUACGCCCCUGGCAUUGCUAACAUCUACGAGCUAGGGUAACUACUCACUGUCAGGUGGGUCUUAUCGCAAUUCUGAUCUAGUAAUAGCUUCCGUGGCAAAGCACCGGCCCAUGAGCUGUUCGCCCUUCAUUGGAGACGCUCGGACAGUUAUUAGUAAGCUCCACCCCACUGAGCCAGCCCGUGUUCCCCCACCCACCCUGAUAAAGUUGAAAAGGUCAUCAGGCCACCAGUAAAAAUACAUGUUAUUUGUUUUCCCAUUAGCGAAUUCAUGUUAAAGCAGCAAAUCGUGCUGCUAAUUAGAAAUUCCUAUUAGCCCCGCCAAUGUUCAACCAUUCUUAAUUACCCGAGUAUCUUAGACAAGAUGGUAAUGGUAAUCGAUGGUUUAUGUAUUUCAAUAUGCUAGCCUGGCUUAGCUGUUGUAUUAGCUAUAGAUUCAAUUCUAAUAAUCAUUCUGUCACACCGUGGUCAUAACCCUUAAAAUUGUGGUAAAUAUUAUGAAGUGAGGUAUGGAUAGAGCUUAUUUUCAAUCGCCAUAACCGAUGUGAUGGCCCCAGUGCAUUUGUAUUUUGCUAGUCAUUAACUGAUCUUAGCUUAUGUUGACCAAUUUGAUUCCUAUAGCAAAAAAUCAUAUAUUUAUUGGAAACAAAUAGUAAGAAUGUAAUUAAAAAUUUACAAUAACGAUUAAGUACAAUGCUUGGCUUAGCUGAAAGUUUUAUUGUUAACAAUUAUAAGCUUCGCUUGUUACAAUUCUAUUGAUUUUAUCGUUGUUUUUUUUCUACGUUAAAUGCAAAUAGUUUGUUUAAAAUAUUGUUAAUGAUAUUUGUAUUCCAAAGGAAAUAUUGUUUAUAUUUUUAAAUUGAUUUGUUUAUUUAAGUUUAACAAUGUUUUUGUUAUUAAAAAUAUUAAAAAAAAGUAUUACUAUUAUUGAAAAAAUGCGUAACGCUUAGUGUUGUAAUACAUUUGAUGUUAGAAAAAUAUAUAUGUAGUUUGAGAGUACGUAAACCGAAAAUAAAUAGAUAAAAUAGU